RNAcentral lists this unclassified non-coding RNA (804 nucleotides) under Hevea brasiliensis (rubber tree). Lineage: Eukaryota; Viridiplantae; Streptophyta; Magnoliopsida; Malpighiales; Euphorbiaceae. The record is from RNAcentral.
GGGGACUCCCAAAUUUCACACAAGCUUUCAAAAACCAGAUCGACUUCAAGAAGAAGAAGAACAAAGAAGAGAUGGAGAGCGUAUUUGGACUUGUUGGCAACGGAUUCGUCAUCGUGGCCGCCGACACAUCGGCGGUGCACAGUAUUUUGGUUCAUAAAUCCAAUGAGGACAAGAUCAUGGUCCUCGAUUCCCACAAGCUCGUCGCAGCUAGCGGCGAACCUGGCGACAGGGUUCAGUUCACGGAGUAUAUACAGAAGAAUGUGGCUUUGUAUCAGUUUCGCAAUGGUAUCCCUUUGACCACUGCUGCUGCUGCUAACUUCACUCGUGGUGAACUCGCUACCGCCUUGCGGAAGAAUCCAUAUUCCGUGAACAUUCUUCUGGCGGGAUAUGACAAGGAAACUGGCCCGUCCCUCUAUUACAUUGACUAUAUUGCCACCCUUCACAAGGUUGACAAGGGAGCUUUUGGUUAUGGGUCUUACUUUUCACUCGCCAUGAUGGACAGACACUACCACAGUGGCAUGACAGAAGAAGAAGCCAUUGAUUUGGUUGAUAAAUGCAUACUGGAGAUCAGGUCCAGGCUUGUUGUGGCCCCACCAAACUUCGUUAUCAAAAUUGUAGACAAAAAUGGAGCUAGGGAGGUUGCUUGGCGCGAAUCCAUCAAGGACGGAGUUAGUGUUCCUUCAGCUUAAGAUUUAAAUGUUAUAUCAGCGGAGAUUUGCUUUUCUUUCUGUCUUCUUAACUUUGUAUGGGCAACGAGCAGGGGUGCAUUUGACCCUUGUAGGCGCCCUAGUUUCAGAUGUUUUG